RNAcentral lists this long non-coding RNA (1295 nucleotides) under Helianthus annuus (common sunflower). Lineage: Eukaryota; Viridiplantae; Streptophyta; Magnoliopsida; Asterales; Asteraceae. The record is from RNAcentral.
AACAACUAAACUGUAUAUUUUUGGUUGCUUGAAGAUCUAUACAAGAUCUCUUUAAAAUCUUACAAAAUCUCUCCAAAAUCUCUCCAAAAUCUUGUAGAGAUUCUUGUCUCAAAAAUGAAAGCCACAAGAUCUUUAUAAGAUUUCCUCAACAUCCUUAUAAAAGGGUCCAUACCCCCUCUUGAUCCUCAUUUUCUUGUGUAGACAACACUCUCCUCUCCCUCUCGAAAUCAUCUGCACACACACACACAUAACACCUCACUUUCCCUUAGAACACUCAUACAACACCCCAAAACCCUUCCCCUCUUCCUCUCGUUCGUCUGACCCGACCACCGGAGCAUCACCGGUAGGUCACCAGCACUCUGCAUCUCUGUCUCUCUCGUGAACCUUGCCAGCGACCAAAGCCGGAUUAUCGGUCGGGAAACCAGCGUGGAUUCCGACAAUCCCACAUCGCCUCUGACCCCCUUUUCGAUUUACAAAACGGAUCACCACCACCUCCGUCCGGUGGUGGUGCGGCGGCUACGAAACAGAAGAGAGAGAGACCGAGAAGAGAGAGAAAUCGGAGGCGAAGGAGUGACGGCGGUAGAUUUUCAGGCGACAAGGGCGACCUGUUGAAGUCUGACAGUGGCAUUUUAUUCCGACGAGUUUUUCCGUCCGCUUAGGGUCAGACGCAGGUGCUUUGUUUCAGGCUCGGUCAACAGCCGUCAACAAGGUGUUCAGGUCAAACAAAGUCAAACCAGUCAACACGUCAGGUUGACUAGUCAAAGACGGUCAACGGGUCGAGUCUCGAGCUUCGGGUCAACAACAGGUUAAGCGUGGUCAACAGUCAAUGGGUCGGUUUCAGAUUCGGUUCGAUCGACAAGUCAAUAGGUAGCUCGGUAUAGUUUUGGUCAGAAUUGAGGUUCAGUUCGAUGCUCGGGUCAACUGUUAGUCAACUCGGUCCAACCCGGUCAAUUCAGUCAAUCGUCUCGACGUGAAAGAUUUGGAAUAUUGUAGAAUGCACGCUAGCGAAUCUCGUCUUGGAAACGACAUCACGAAGUCGUAAUUAGCUAGCUUUGCAUAUGGAAAUCCAGGAUACUUUCUCAAAUUAUGGCACAGUUGGAAUAGGAUAACCAUUGGAGAUUCGAGUACUUAGUGGGCGUUCGUUGUAACAUCUGUGCUUGUAAUCAUUGUAAACAGUUCAGUUAUCAAUGAAAUAAAGUUAUUUGAUCCCAAUGUUUGUUUGUUUGUGUUUGAAAUUUUUCAUAUUUUGACUUUUACUCAAUUUCAAACCCUAUAUCGCUUUCUGGAGAAUUAUA